This 275-nucleotide microRNA precursor is filed under the name Oryza sativa Japonica Group (Japanese rice). RNAcentral describes it as "MIR821 microRNA precursor family". It matches the Rfam family "MIR821 microRNA precursor family". Lineage: Eukaryota; Viridiplantae; Streptophyta; Magnoliopsida; Poales; Poaceae. The record is from Rfam by way of RNAcentral.
GAUUUCAGCUGAAAAAGUCAUCAACAACAAAGUUAUAUAACUCAUCAAGAUCUUUAACUUUUAUUUUAGUCAUUUCUUCAUCCGACAAAGUGAUAAUAACAUAGUUCACAAAAUUUACAUAUCUCUUAUAUGGUUUUCUAAACUAUAAGAGAGAUAUGUAAAUUUUGUGAAAAUGUUACUAUCACUUUGUCGGAUGAAGAAAUGACCAAAAUAAAAGUUAUAGAUCUUGAUAAGUUAUACAACUUUUGUUGUUGAUGACUUUUUCAACUGAAAUU